ACGAACGCUGGCGGCAGGCUUAACACAUGCAAGUCGCACGCAUGCCUUCGGGCAUGAGUGGCAGACGGGUGAGUAACGCGUGGGAACCUACCCCUUGGUACGGGAUAGCUCCGGGAAACUGGAGAUAAUACCGUAUGUGUCCUGAGGGACAAAGAUUCAUCGCCAAGGGAUGGGCCCGCGUCGGAUUAGCUAGUUGGUGGGGUAACGGCCUACCAAGGCGACGAUCCGUAGCUGGUCUAAGAGGAUGAUCAGCCACAUUGGGACUGAGACACGGCCCAAACUCCUACGGGAGGCAGCAGUGGGGAAUAUUGGACAAUGGGCGCAAGCCUGAUCCAGCCAUGCCGCGUGAGUGAUGAAGGCCCUAGGGUUGUAAAGCUCUUUCACCGGUGACGAUAAUGACGGUAACCGGAGAAGAAGCCCCGGCUAACUUCGUG
Molecule: ribosomal RNA, 434 nt
Filed under: uncultured bacterium
Lineage: Bacteria
Description: partial 16S ribosomal RNA
Rfam family: Bacterial small subunit ribosomal RNA
Source: RNAcentral